GACGAACGCUGGCGGCGUGCCUAAUACAUGCAAGUUGAGCGCUGAAGGUUGGUACUUGUACCAACUGGAUGAGCAGCGAACGGGUGAGUAACGCGUGGGUAAUCUGCCUUUGAGCGGGGGACAACAUUUGGAAACGAAUGCUAAUACCGCAUAAAAACUUUAAACACAAGUUUUAAUUUUGAAAGAUGCAAUUGCAUCACUCAAUGAUGAUCUCGCGUUGUAUUUGCUAGUUGGUGAGGUAAAGGCUCACCAAGGCGAUGAUACAUAGCCGAACUGGGAGGGUGGUUGGGCAAAUUGGGACUGAGACAACGCCCAAAAUUCUAAGGGAAGGAGCAAUAAGGAAUCUUCGGCAAUGGAGGAAAGUCUGGCCGAGCAAAGCCGCGGGAGUGAAGAAAGUUUUCGGAUCGGAAAAAUCUGGUGAUAGGGGAGAAAGUAAGGGAGAGGGGAAAACGCAUGAAGUGACGGUAACUACCCAGAAAGGGACGGCUAACUACGUG
RNAcentral lists this ribosomal RNA (497 nucleotides) under uncultured bacterium. RNAcentral describes it as "partial 16S ribosomal RNA". It matches the Rfam family "Bacterial small subunit ribosomal RNA", at positions 28 to 507 of the family's 1533-position model. The record is from RNAcentral.